This 167-nucleotide ribosomal RNA is filed under the name uncultured Chlamydomonadales. RNAcentral describes it as "partial large subunit ribosomal RNA". It matches the Rfam family "Eukaryotic large subunit ribosomal RNA", at positions 40 to 213 of the family's 3401-position model. Lineage: Eukaryota; Viridiplantae; Chlorophyta; Chlorophyceae; Chlamydomonadales. The record is from RNAcentral.
AUAUCAAUAAGCGGAGGAAAAGAAACUAACAAGGAUUCCCUUAGUAACGGCGAGUGAAACGGGAAUAGCCCAACUUGAAAAUCUCCCUUUGGAGAAUUGUAUCUAUAGAAGCGUCCUCUGUGGCGGCCUGAGCCCAAGUCCACUGGAAAGUGGCGUCAGGAGAGGGG